GUGUGUUUAGCUUCUCUGUGUCUCUCUUUCUCCUCCAGAUGGCAACAGCAGUAAUCUCCGAGUCCAAAAAGGCGCCGCGGCCUGGUCGGGGUGGAUACCAAGCCCACGGCCUGAGUGAAGAGGAAGCCCGGGUACGAGCCAUAGCAGAAAUCGUCAACUCCAUGGUGGAACUCUCGCGAAAGAACCUAACUGUGGACCUCAACGCUAUUAAAUCCGCCGCCUGCCGCAAGUACGGCCUUGCGCGAGCCCCAAAACUCGUGGAGAUGAUCGCGGCUCUUCCCGAGUCCGACCGCGAAUCGCUACUUCCGAAGCUCCGCGCCAAGCCGGUUCGCACCGCCUCUGGAAUUGCUGUCGUCGCCGUCAUGUCGAAACCGCAUCGGUGCCCUCAUAUUGCAACAACGGGAAAUAUUUGCGUUUAUUGUCCUGGUGGGCCGGAUUCAGAUUUUGAGUACAGCACGCAGUCCUACACUGGUUAUGAACCUACUAGCAUGCGUGCAAUUCGAGCCAGAUAUAACCCAUAUGUUCAGGCUAGAAGCAGGAUUGAUCAACUUAAGCGGUUGGGCCACAGUGUAGAUAAGGUCGAGUUCAUAUUGAUGGGUGGUACGUUCAUGUCAUUGCCAGCAGACUACCGUGAUUACUUUAUAAGGAAUCUUCAUGAUGCUUUGUCAGGACACACUUCUGCCAAUGUUGAAGAGGCAGUUGCCUACUCUGAGCAUAGUGCAACAAAGUGUAUUGGCAUGACAAUUGAAACGAGGCCAGAUUACUGCCUUGGACCUCAUUUGCGUCAAAUGCUUUCUUAUGGUUGUACGCGAUUGGAGAUUGGAGUUCAAAGCACAUAUGAGGAUGUUGCUCGGGAUACUAAUAGAGGACACACAGUAGCUGCUGUUGCUGAUUGUUUUUGCUUGGCAAAGGAUGCUGGUUUCAAGGUUGUUGCUCAUAUGAUGCCUGAUCUUCCAAAUGUUGGGGUUGAGCGAGACUUGGAAAGUUUUCGAGAGUUCUUUGAGAGUCCUUCAUUUAGAGCAGAUGGGCUGAAAAUUUAUCCCACACUCGUAAUUCGUGGAACUGGGCUUUAUGAGCUCUGGAAAACUGGCAGGUACAGAAAUUACCCACCUGAGCAACUUGUAGAUAUUGUAGCGAGAAUCCUAGCCAUGGUACCGCCUUGGACACGUGUCUAUAGAGUUCAACGGGAUAUUCCUAUGCCUUUGGUUACAUCUGGGGUUGAGAAGGGAAAUCUUAGGGAGCUAGCUUUAGCUCGAAUGGAUGACUUGGGUUUGAAAUGCCGUGAUGUCCGUACGCGUGAGGCUGGAAUCCAGGACAUUCAUCACAAAAUUAAACCAGAAGAAGUUGAGCUCAUUCGCCGAGAUUAUACAGCAAAUGAAGGUUGGGAAACAUUUCUUUCAUACGAGGAUACAAGACAGGAUAUCCUCGUUGGUUUAUUGCGAUUGCGAAAAUGUGGUCGAAAUGUUACUUGCCCAGAGCUCAUGGGAAAUUGCUCUAUUGUUCGUGAGCUCCAUG
RNAcentral lists this unclassified non-coding RNA (1515 nucleotides) under Hevea brasiliensis (rubber tree). Lineage: Eukaryota; Viridiplantae; Streptophyta; Magnoliopsida; Malpighiales; Euphorbiaceae. The record is from RNAcentral.